Molecule: ribosomal RNA, 301 nt
Filed under: uncultured bacterium
Lineage: Bacteria
Description: partial 16S ribosomal RNA
Rfam family: Bacterial small subunit ribosomal RNA
Source: RNAcentral
CAGCCGCCGCGGGAAUACGAAGGGUGCAAGCGUUAAUCGGAAUUACUGGGCGUAAAGCGUGCGUAGGCGGUGAGUUAAGUCUGCUGUGAAAUCCCCGGGCUCAACCUGGGAAUGGCAGUGGAUACUGGCUCGCUAGAGUGUGUCAGAGGAUGGUGGGAUUCCCGGUGUAGCGGUGAAAUGCGUAGAGAUCGGGAGGAACAUCAGUGGCGAAGGCGGCCAUCUGGGACAACACUGACGCUGAGGCGCGAAAGCGUGGGGAGCAAACCGGAUUAGAUACCCCCGUAGUCCCUGUCUCUUAUCC